Hemicordylus capensis (graceful crag lizard) is the source of this 717-nucleotide long non-coding RNA. RefSeq lists it as uncharacterized. NCBI's taxonomy places the organism in Eukaryota, Metazoa, Chordata, Lepidosauria, Squamata, Cordylidae. The record is from RefSeq and is a predicted model, not a curated record. The transcript has 3 exons.
AAGAAAAGGGAGUGAAAGGAGAGGGCGUUUCUGGAAUAAAGUCUCCGUUAAAUCCACAUAAGAUUUUUGUGUGUGUUUACGAUGGAAGGAGAUAUAAAACAAGGGUCAAGAAAGAAAACCUCCGCACAAGAGUUCCAUACGAAUCCAUGACCUGUUCCAAGGUUGCGGUAACCAUCAGCCAGGAGCUAAGGAGCCAUAAGUGUUUUCCAUGCAAAGCUUUGACAGGCACAGGAUUCAGCAGCAGAGGGAAGGAGAAUCCAUGAUGUGAGAUGAGAUGAGAAUCCAUCACUGAAAAUCAUUCUUGCCCGCCCCUUUGCACAUUGCACAAUAGAAAAACUCUUCUGUCAGUACAUUAUUCAUCUGGAUGCUGGCACUUGUAAUUGAUUAAAUUACAACUGGGCUCUUGAAAAUACAAAUAUGCCGAACUCCUUUUAGAACUGUAAAGUAUGUAUGUUGGGGGGAUGUUGUUGUAUGCAGUAUGCACAUAUGCUGGUGAUGCACCAAAUUUUCAUUGCUUGGUUAUCAUUAAGAACAUUGUCAUUCUCUCUCUCUCUCUCUCUCUCUUUCUCUCUCUCUCUCUCUCUCACACACACACACACACACACACACACACUCACACUCUCAUACCUAGCACUAAUAUCCACAUUUCUGGCACCUGAUUAUAGCCAUUGGUUUCCCAAUUUGCUGCUGCUUUGUCAAGAUUUAUUUAUUGUUUUA